AGUGAACGCUGGCGGUAGGCCUAACACAUGCAAGUCGAACGGCAGCACAGUAAGAGCUUGCUCUUACGGGUGGCGAGUGGCGGACGGUUGAGGAAUACAUCGGAAUCUACUUUUUCUUGGGUGAUAACGUAGGGAAACUUACGCUAAUACCGCAUACGACCUACGGGUGAAAGCAUGGGAUCUUCGGACCUUGCGCGAUUGUAUGAGCCGAUGUCGGAUUAGCUAGUUGGCGGGGUAAAGGCCCACCAAGGCGACGAUCCGUAGCUGGUCUGAGAGGAUGAUCAGCCACACUGGAACUGAGACACGGUCCAGACUCCUACGGGAGGCAGCAGUGGGGAAUAUUGGACAAUGGGCGAAAGCAUGAUCCAGCCAUACCGCGUGGGUGAAGAAGGCCUUCGGGUUGUAAAGCCCUUUUGUUGGGAAAGAAAAGCAGCAGGUUAAUACCCCGCUGUUCUGACGGUACCAAAAGAAUAAGCACCGGCUAACUUCGUG
This 492-nucleotide ribosomal RNA is filed under the name uncultured bacterium. RNAcentral's name for it is "partial 16S ribosomal RNA". It matches the Rfam family "Bacterial small subunit ribosomal RNA", at positions 29 to 507 of the family's 1533-position model. The record is from RNAcentral.